AUGAGCUCCUCUAGGGUAAGGGAUUCCUCCAUGAAUUUUCUUUUUUUUUUUUUUUUUUUAAUUUUUAUUUAUGAUAGUCACAGAGAGAGAGAGAGAGAGAGGCAGAGACACAGGCAGAGGGAGAAGCAGGCUCCAUGCACCGGGAGCCCGAUGUGGGAUUCGAUCCCGGGUCUCCAGGAUCGCGCCCUGGGCCAAAGGCAGGCGCCAAACCCCUGCGCCACCCAGGGAUCCCUCCUCCAUGAAUUUUCAUUUUGUAUUUAUCUACAGGGUCCGGCAGUGUUUGAAGAAGAAAUGAGCGAGGGUUUGAGGAUGGAUCAAUGCGAGGAUGAAAGAGAGGGUGCAAGAAAAUGGGACCAAAACUUGAAUGAAGGAAAGAGAAAAAAGAUCCAAGAUGCCUGAGCUGCAGAAACUCAGGAGGCAACAAGAUGAAGAGACCACAGAGCAAAAAAACAGUUACCACUGCCCACUCCCCAAGUAUGUUAGUAAUCCGACUUCUUAACUUUAUGGUCCUUCAGAAUAUGUGCAGUCCAUAAUACAUCAGAAACUGAUUAUCCGAGGCUAGUUGUAACUGUUGAUGUAAUUCUAAACUCAAGCUUUUGCUUCUCUUGCAGUACUUAAUGCAUGUUAUUUUGCUUUCAUAAAUAGAAUAUAACAGUCAGACGAGCUGGGUAACUUUGAUUAGGAACAAAAAGGAUGAUACUUUUAGUCUUACUUUUUUAUAUUAUUUUCUCGAUGGGUUCAACUCUGCCCAUUGACACUGGCCCAAAUGCUAUGACACUGCAAAACUGAGAUCGUAUCUUGUUUUUUUGGACACUUCACUUUGCCCAGGUCAGUGGAAUUCAACUGAGUAGUGAACUGGCUUAAACAUUUAGCACAGGGACGCCGGGGUGGCUCAGCGGUGGAGCACCUGCCUUUGGCUCGGGUGAUCCCAGGAUCGAGUCCCACAUCGGGCUCCUUGUGGGGAGCCUGCUCCUCCCCCUGCCUGUGUCCCUGCCGCUCUCUGGGUCUCUCCUGAAUAAAUAAGAUCUUUAAAGAAAUUUAAUACCA
Molecule: long non-coding RNA, 1047 nt
Filed under: Vulpes vulpes (red fox)
Lineage: Eukaryota; Metazoa; Chordata; Mammalia; Carnivora; Canidae
Description: lncRNA (ENSVVUG00000002156.1)
Source: RNAcentral